This 178-nucleotide non-coding RNA is filed under the name Gallionellales bacterium GWA2_60_18. RNAcentral's name for it is "6S RNA". It matches the Rfam family "6S / SsrS RNA". From Rfam's summary of the family: E. coli 6S RNA was the first non coding RNA to be sequenced, but its function was unknown until recently. It consists of 184 nucleotides that fold into an extended hairpin structure with a large single-stranded internal bulge. Lineage: Bacteria; Pseudomonadati; Pseudomonadota; Betaproteobacteria; Nitrosomonadales. The record is from RNAcentral.
UGUCCCCUGCGGUGUUCGUCAGGCCCAUAAUUCUUUGAACCAAUAAGCUAUGCUUAAGGCCGCGACCCUCAAUGUCACUGUUGUGCGCGUCCCUUGCGGACGUACCUGAUGUGACCGGGAAGUUGCCCACUUGAACCCAGGUUCAAGAUAUUGGGUCAACGGCACAGGCGGGGGGCUU